CUCUGUGACUCCUACGGGAGGCAGCAGUGAGGAAUAUUGGUCAAUGGAGGGAACUCUGAACCAGCCAUCCCGCGUGUAGGAAGACGGCCUUAUGGGUUGUAAACUACUUUUAUACAGGAAGAAACAUACCCUCGUGAGGGUGCCUGACGGUACUGUAGGAAUAAGCACCGGCUAACUCCGUGCCAGCAGCCGCGGUAAUACGGAGGGUGCGAGCGUUAUCCGGAUUUAUUGGGUUUAAAGGGUCCGUAGGCGGAUUAAUAAGUCAGUGGUGAAAUCCCAUCGCUUAACGAUGGAACUGCCAUUGAUACUGUUAGUCUUGAAUGAGGGUGCAGUGGUUGGAAUGUGUAGUGUAGCGGUGAAAUGCAUAGAUAUUACACAGAACACCGAUUGCGAAGGCAGAUCACUAACCCUAAAUUGACGCUGAGGACGAAAGCGUGGGGAGCGAACAGGAUUAGAUACCCUGGUAG
Molecule: ribosomal RNA, 467 nt
Filed under: uncultured bacterium
Lineage: Bacteria
Description: bacterial SSU rRNA
Rfam family: Bacterial small subunit ribosomal RNA
Source: RNAcentral